GUGAGGAAUAUUGGUCAAUGGGCGCAAGCCUGAACCAGCCAUCCCGCGUGCAGGAAGACGGCGCUAUGCGUUGUAAACUGCUUUUCCAGGGGGAGAAACUUGCGCACGUGUUGCGCAAUUGACGGUACUCUGGGAAUAAGCAUCGGCUAACUCCGUGCCAGCAGCCGCGGUAAUACGGAGGAUGCGAGCGUUAUCCGGAUUCAUUGGGUUUAAAGGGUGCGUAGGCGGACUAUUAAGUCAGUGGUGAAAUCCUGCAGCUUAACUGCAGAACUGCCAUUGAUACUGAUAGCCUUGAGUUUGGUUAAGGUAGGCGGAAUGUGUAAUGUAGCGGUGAAAUGCUUAGAUAUUACACAGAACACCAAGUGCGUAGGCAGCUUACUGAGCCGACACUGACGCUGAGGCACGAAAGCGUGGGGAUCGAACAGGAUUAGAAACCCUUGUAGUCC
Molecule: ribosomal RNA, 446 nt
Filed under: uncultured bacterium
Lineage: Bacteria
Description: partial 16S ribosomal RNA
Rfam family: Bacterial small subunit ribosomal RNA
Source: RNAcentral